Long non-coding RNA from Ostrea edulis (European flat oyster), 489 nucleotides. RefSeq lists it as uncharacterized. Lineage: Eukaryota; Metazoa; Mollusca; Bivalvia; Ostreida; Ostreidae. The record is from RefSeq and is a predicted model, not a curated record. The transcript has 2 exons.
UAAAGAAUUCCAUUUUAUUGUAAAACAAUUCAUGUUAAUUAUAUCUUGACAUUUUUAUUAGAUAUCUAUUAUAUUACUAUUUAAAGUCUGCCUCAAUCUGAUAUGGUCAUGGGGACUGGUUAAUGUAUGGGUUCUUGAAUUUAUAUUUCUAAUAAUAAUAUAUAAAUAUAACAAAGAUAAAGUCAUUUAGCUAAUGUAUAUUUCUUUAAAGUUUUCAUACCAGCAUCAUGGAGUGUCAUUACCAUCACUACAUGCAUUGGAAACCUCUGUGGUCUCUGCAAAACCCAAGGAUAUACUUAAAGUGGUAACAGGAGGAAAAUCAAUCAAACCAAGUGAAAGUACAAGACACUAUUACAAAAGGAAAGCAAAGGAGUCCAUAAAUUCAAUGUUGAACAUCAAGACAGUCUAAAAUAUUGAAUCCAAACAAAAUAUCAAAACUCUAUGAAGAAAUAAAUGACAAAUUGUCAAAUAAACAUGAAAGCAUUCUUA